RNAcentral lists this ribosomal RNA (1104 nucleotides) under Nocardia sp. HSM4. RNAcentral describes it as "bacterial SSU rRNA". It matches the Rfam family "Bacterial small subunit ribosomal RNA", at positions 378 to 1490 of the family's 1533-position model. Lineage: Bacteria; Bacillati; Actinomycetota; Actinomycetes; Mycobacteriales; Nocardiaceae. The record is from RNAcentral.
CGAGCCUGAUGCAGCGACGCCGCGUGCGGGAUGACGGCCUUCGGGUUGUAAACCGCUUUUGACAGGGACGAAGCGCAAGUGACUGUACCUGUAGAAUAAGGACCGGCCAACUACGUGCCAGCAGCCGCGGUAAUACGUAGGGUCCGAGCGUUGUCCGGAAUUACUGGGCGUAAAGAGCUUGUAGGCGGUUCGUCGCGUCGUUUGUGAAAACUUGGGGCUCAACCUUAAGCUUGCAGGCGAUACGGGCGGACUAGAGUACUUCAGGGGAGACUGGAAUUCCUGGUGUAGCGGUGAAAUGCGCAGAUAUCAGGAGGAACACCGGUGGCGAAGGCGGGUCUCUGGGAAGUAACUGACGCUGAGAAGCGAAAGCAUGGGUAGCAAACAGGAUUAGAUACCCUGGUAGUCCAUGCCGUAAACGGUGGGUACUAGGUGUGGGGCUCCUUCCACGGACUCCGUGCCGUAGCUAACGCAUUAAGUACCCCGCCUGGGGAGUACGGCCGCAAGGCUAAAACUCAAAGAAAUUGACGGGGGCCCGCACAAGCGGCGGAGCAUGUGGAUUAAUUCGAUGCAACGCGAAGAACCUUACCUGGGUUUGACAUACACCGGAAACCUGCAGAGAUGUASGCCCCCUUGUGGUCGGUGUACAGGUGGUGCAUGGCUGUCGUCAGCUCGUGUCGUGAGAUGUUGGGUUAAGUCCCGCAACGAGCGCAACCCUUAUCUUAUGUUGCCAGCGCGUAAUGGCGGGGACUCGUGAGAGACUGCCGGGGUCAACUCGGAGGAAGGUGGGGACGACGUCAAGUCAUCAUGCCCCUUAUGUCCAGGGCUUCACACAUGCUACAAUGGCCGGUACAGAGGGCUGCGAUACCGUGAGGUGGAGCGAAUCCCUUAAAGCCGGUCUCAGUUCGGAUCGGGGUCUGCAACUCGACCCCGUGAAGUUGGAGUCGCUAGUAAUCGCAGAUCAGCAACGCUGCGGUGAAUACGUUCCCGGGCCUUGUACACACCGCCCGUCACGUCAUGAAAGUCGGUAACACCCGAAGCCGGUGGCCUAACCCCUUGUGGGAGGGAGCCGUCGAAGGUGGGAUCGGCGAUUGGGACGAAGUCGUA